This 1431-nucleotide ribosomal RNA is filed under the name uncultured organism. RNAcentral describes it as "16S ribosomal RNA". It matches the Rfam family "Bacterial small subunit ribosomal RNA". The record is from RNAcentral.
CAGGCUUAACACAUGCAAGUCGAGGGGCAGCGGGGGUAGCGAUACCCGCCGGCGACCGGCGCACGGGUGAGUAACGCGUAUGCAACUUGCCUAUCAGAGGGGGAUAACCCGGCGAAAGUCGGACUAAUACCGCAUGAAGCAGGGGCCCCGCAUGGGGAUAUUUGCUAAAGAUUCAUCGCUGAUAGAUAGGCAUGCGUUCCAUUAGGCAGUUGGCGGGGUAACGGCCCACCAAACCGACGAUGGAUAGGGGUUCUGAGAGGAAGGUCCCCCACAUUGGUACUGAGACACGGACCAAACUCCUACGGGAGGCAGCAGUGAGGAAUAUUGGUCAAUGGCCGAGAGGCUGAACCAGCCAAGUCGCGUGAGGGAUGAAGGUUCUAUGGAUCGUAAACCUCUUUUAUAAGGGAAUAAAGUGCGGGACGUGUCCCGUUUUGUAUGUACCUUAUGAAUAAGGAUCGGCUAACUCCGUGCCAGCAGCCGCGGUAAUACGGAGGAUCCGAGCGUUAUCCGGAUUUAUUGGGUUUAAAGGGUGCGUAGGCGGCCUUUUAAGUCAGCGGUGAAAGUCUGUGGCUCAACCAUAGAAUUGCCGUUGAAACUGGGGGGCUUGAGUAUGUUUGAGGCAGGCGGAAUGCGUGGUGUAGCGGUGAAAUGCAUAGAUAUCACGCAGAACCCCGAUUGCGAAGGCAGCCUGCCAAGCCAUUACUGACGCUGAUGCACGAAAGCGUGGGGAUCAAACAGGAUUAGAUACCCUGGUAGUCCACGCAGUAAACGAUGAUCACUAGCUGUUUGCGAUACACUGUAAGCGGCACAGCGAAAGCGUUAAGUGAUCCACCUGGGGAGUACGCCGGCAACGGUGAAACUCAAAGGAAUUGACGGGGGCCCGCACAAGCGGAGGAACAUGUGGUUUAAUUCGAUGAUACGCGAGGAACCUUACCCGGGUUUGAACGCAUUCGGACCGAGGUGGAAACACCUUUUCUAGCAAUAGCCGUUUGCGAGGUGCUGCAUGGUUGUCGUCAGCUCGUGCCGUGAGGUGUCGGCUUAAGUGCCAUAACGAGCGCAACCCUUGCCACUAGUUACUAACAGGUAAAGCUGAGGACUCUGGUGGGACUGCCAGCGUAAGCUGCGAGGAAGGCGGGGAUGACGUCAAAUCAGCACGGCCCUUACAUCCGGGGCGACACACGUGUUACAAUGGCGUGGACAAAGGGAAGCCACCUGGCGACAGGGAGCGAAUCCCCAAACCACGUCUCAGUUCGGAUCGGAGUCUGCAACCCGACUCCGUGAAGCUGGAUUCGCUAGUAAUCGCGCAUCAGCCAUGGUGCGGUGAAUACGUUCCCGGGCCUUGUACACACCGCCCGUCAAGCCAUGGGAGCCGGGGGUACCUGAAGUCCGUAACCGAAAGGAUCGGCCUAGGGUAAAACUGGUGACUGGGGC